AGAGUUUGAUCAUGGCUCAGAUUGAACGCUGGCGGCAGGCCUAACACAUGCAAGUCGAACGGUAACAGGAAGCAGCUUGCUGCUUCGCUGACGAGUGGCGGACGGGUGAGUAAUGUCUGGGAAGCUGCCUGAUGGAGGGGGAUAACUACUGGAAACGGUAGCUAAUACCGCAUAAUGUCGCAAGACCAAAGAGGGGGACCUUCGGGCCUCUUGCCAUCGGAUGUGCCCAGAUGGGAUUAGCUUGUUGGUGGGGUAACGGCUCACCAAGGCGACGAUCCCUAGCUGGUCUGAGAGGAUGACCAGCCACACUGGAACUGAGACACGGUCCAGACUCCUACGGGAGGCAGCAGUGGGGAAUAUUGCACAAUGGGCGCAAGCCUGAUGCAGCCAUGCCGCGUGUAUGAAGAAGGCCUUCGGGUUGUAAAGUACUUUCAGCGGGGAGGAAGGGAGUAAAGUUAAUACCUUUGCUCAUUGACGUUACCCGCAGAAGAAGCACCGGCUAACUCCGUGCCAGCAGCCGCGGUAAUACGGAGGGUGCAAGCGUUAAUCGGAAUUACUGGGCGUAAAGCGCACGCAGGCGGUUUGUUAAGUCAGAUGUGAAAUCCCCGGGCUCAACCUGGGAACUGCAUCUGAUACUGGCAAGCUUGAGUCUCGUAGAGGGGGGUAGAAUUCCAGGUGUAGCGGUGAAAUGCGUAGAGAUCUGGAGGAAUACCGGUGACGAAGGCGGCCCCCUGGACGAAGACUGACGCUCAGGUGCGAAAGCGUGGGGAGCAAACAGGAUUAGAUACCCUGGUAGUCCACGCCGUAAACGAUGUCGACUUGGAGGUUGUGCCCUUGAGGCGUGGCUUCCGGAGCUAACGCGUUAAGUCGACCGCCUGGGGAGUACGGCCGCAAGGUUAAAACUCAAAUGAAUUGACGGGGGCCCGCACAAGCGGUGGAGCAUGUGGUUUAAUUCGAUGCAACGCGAAGAACCUUACCUGGUCUUGACAUCCACGGAAGUUUUCAGAGAUGAGAAUGUGCCUUCGGGAACCGUGAGACAGGUGCUGCAUGGCUGUCGUCAGCUCGUGUUGUGAAAUGUUGGGUUAAGUCCCGCAACGAGCGCAACCCUUAUCCUUUGUUGCCAGCGGUCCGGCCGGGAACUCAAAGGAGACUGCCAGUGAUAAACUGGAGGAAGGUGGGGAUGACGUCAAGUCAUCAUGGCCCUUACGACCAGGGCUACACACGUGCUACAAUGGCGCAUACAAAGAGAAGCGACCUCGCGAGAGCAAGCGGACCUCAUAAAGUGCGUCGUAGUCCGGAUUGGAGUCUGCAACUCGACUCCAUGAAGUCGGAAUCGCUAGUAAUCGUGGAUCAGAAUGCCACGGUGAAUACGUUCCCGGGCCUUGUACACACCGCCCGUCACACCAUGGGAGUGGGUUGCAAAAGAAGUAGGUAGCUUAACCUUCGGGAGGGCGCUUACCACUUUGUGAUUCAUGACUGGGGUGAAGUCGUAACAAGGUA
RNAcentral lists this ribosomal RNA (1500 nucleotides) under metagenome. Its description in RNAcentral is "bacterial SSU rRNA". It matches the Rfam family "Bacterial small subunit ribosomal RNA". The record is from RNAcentral.